CUACGGGCCGCUGCAGUGAGGAAUAUUGCACAAUGGGGAAACCCUGAUGCAGCAACGCCGCGUGGAGGAUGACGCAUUUCGGUGUGUAAACUCCUUUUAUCAGAGAAGAAAAUGACGGUAUCUGAUGAAUAAGCUCCGGCUAACUCCGUGCCAGCAGCCGCGGUAAUACGGAGGGAGCAAGCGUUAUGCGGAAUCACUGGGCGUAAAGGACGCGUAGGCGGGUUUUUAAGUCAGGUGUGAAAUCCUAUGGCUCAACCAUAGAACUGCACUUGAAACUGGGGACCUAGAGUAUGGAAGGGGCAGGUGGAAUUAGUGGUGUAGGGGUAAAAUCCGUAGAUAUCACUAGGAAUACCGAAAGCGAAGGCGACCUGCUGGGACAUUACUGACGCUGAGGCGUGAAAGCGUGGGGAGCAAACAGGAUUAGAUACCCUCGUAGUC
RNAcentral lists this ribosomal RNA (438 nucleotides) under uncultured bacterium. RNAcentral describes it as "partial 16S ribosomal RNA". It matches the Rfam family "Bacterial small subunit ribosomal RNA", at positions 339 to 795 of the family's 1533-position model. The record is from RNAcentral.